This is a long non-coding RNA of Oreochromis aureus, 164 nucleotides long. RefSeq lists it as uncharacterized. NCBI's taxonomy places the organism in Eukaryota, Metazoa, Chordata, Actinopteri, Cichliformes, Cichlidae. The transcript has 3 exons. The record is from RefSeq and is a predicted model, not a curated record.
CUGAUCUGAUCGUCUCAAGUCUGAGUGAACAGAUCUUUGGUUUUGCCUUUGCUGGUGACCUGCUGCAGAAGAUCCUCUCUCUCUAUCAUUAUAAGCAAUUCUAUCUAUCCUAUCACUCUCCCGACUCUAUCUAAUUUGACAGCCAUUCCAUCUUGUAUCCCUCU